This 439-nucleotide ribosomal RNA is filed under the name uncultured bacterium. RNAcentral describes it as "partial 16S ribosomal RNA". It matches the Rfam family "Bacterial small subunit ribosomal RNA", at positions 339 to 795 of the family's 1533-position model. The record is from RNAcentral.
CUACGGGUCGCACCAGUGAGGAAUAUUGCACAAUGGGGGGAACCCUGAUGCAGCAACGCCGCGUGGAGGAUGACGCACUUCGGUGUGUAAACUCCUUUUAUAUGUCAAGAAAAUGACGGUAGCAUAUGAAUAAGCACCGGCUAACUCCGUGCCAGCAGCCGCGGUAAUACGGAGGGUGCAAGCGUUACUCGGAAUCACUGGGCGUAAAGGACGCGUAGGCGGGUUGGAAAGUCAGGUGUGAAAUCCUAUAGCUUAACUGUAGAACUGCACUUGAAACUUCUAAUCCAGAGUAUGGGAGGGGGAGAUGGAAUUAGUGGUGUAGGGGUAAAAUCCGUAGAUAUCACUAGGAAUACCUAAAGCGAAGGCGAUCUCCUGGAACAUUACUGACGCUAAGGCGCGAAAGCGUGGGGAGCAAACAGGAUUAGAUACCCGAGUAGUC